Molecule: ribosomal RNA, 383 nt
Filed under: Asterionellopsis glacialis
Lineage: Eukaryota; Bacillariophyta; Plagiogrammaphyceae; Rhaphoneidales; Asterionellopsidaceae
Description: partial Bacterial large subunit ribosomal RNA
Rfam family: Bacterial large subunit ribosomal RNA
Source: RNAcentral
AGACUCCCUUAGUAGCGGCGAGCGAACGGGGACCAGGCCUGGUCUGAAAUAAAGCAAAGCAUCUGGAAAGUUGCGCCAUAGUGGGUGAUAGCCCCGUAGCUGUAAAAUGAAGACCUUUACGAGUAGGGCGGGACACGUGAAAUCCUGUCUGAACAUGGGGGGACCACCCUCCAAGCCUAAGUACUCCUUACCGACCGAUAGUGAACUAGUACCGUGAGGGAAAGAUGAAAAGUACCCCGAUGAGGGGAGUGAAACAGUACCUGAAACCGGAUGCUUACAAGCUGAUGGAGCUCUUCGGAGUGACAUCGUACCUUUUGUAUAAUGGGUCAACGACUUAGUGUUGUAUGCAAGCUUAAGCCGUUAGGUGUAGGCGCAGCGAAAGC